RNAcentral lists this long non-coding RNA (2214 nucleotides) under Homo sapiens (human). RNAcentral describes it as "non-protein coding lnc-C3orf58-1:1". The record is from RNAcentral. Lineage: Eukaryota; Metazoa; Chordata; Mammalia; Primates; Hominidae.
CUCAAUGUAGUAUAGAAUACCAUACAACACCGUUUUUCUGCUUUCUUUUUAUUCCUAAAUAAAUCAGAUGGGGUUGAUAAUGUUAGGUGUUCAUGUCACUGUGAGUCUGGUGUGAACUGGCAGUUAGAAGGCUAGCAGGGUGAGGAGGACAUCUGCCUAUAAGGGUGACCCGGCAUGAGGCAGAACCUGAGCAGAGUAAGGGAGAGACCCAUGUGACCUUGGUGGGGUGUCAUUGUCUGAGCAAGUUGAGGAGGAUGUUCACGUGGGGUAGGGGCUAAGAUGAAGAGUUAGAGUCUGAGUAGGGUAAGGGGGACAUGCAAACUGGCUUUUGAGUCCUUGGAUGGGGAAUAGGUGAUGACAGAGAUGGAAAUCUGGCUACAUACAGAGGAAUUGGUUAAAUAGAUAAAUAAAUAUAUGAAAGACAAUGGGAGUUAGUUUCUUACUAUUGUAAAAAGGGUUGUAAAUAUAGCAAAGGAGAAGAGUAGAUGAACCAUGAAGAUUGGGUUCAACACUACUGGUAUGAACUCAUGAUUUUUAAUAUAAAUAGAUAAAGAUAGAUAAAAAAUAUAGUUGUGUAUUUAUAAACACUCUGAACGUGUGUUUUUGUAUGUGUUAUGUACAUACACAUAUAUAUCCACUUGCUCUGUCCACUGAGAAGACUUUGGAGCAGCUAUUCUCCACAAGAAUGGACCCAAGGGUUCUUUGAGAAACACUGCUUUCAGGUCUGGAGCAGGGGAAGUUUGGUGGGUCUAGGUCAUCUUGUGGCAAAAUAAAUAACUCAGACCUUCUUGGAGGUGUUUCCACUGGCUGAACCAUGUUAUCCUUGCAUAUUAAAAUAACUAUGAUUUUAAUAGAUUAUAACCCACUGAUAAAACAAGAAAGCAGGAGUCCAUGGUGAUAUAAUUAACAAGAUAAUUAUAUCACAGGAUAUUUAAAUAGUUUAGAAGUAUAUCAUCACAAAAUAUUAGUUAGAAAGGAAUUUCACAGUGGAGAAAGAUGGGUGGUAGGUCUCAUGUUAAUCUAGUGAUCAAAGUGAAUGCCAUUAUCAAUGAGACAAAUUAAAAUUAUGUCCCAAUUUUAAUACCAGAAAUGUAUAAGAUCAGGUAAAUCCAGAUUGGAGAACAUUACAAAAUAACUGGCCUAUGAUUGGCAAAGCAUCAAGGUCCUCAAAGUCAAGGAGAAAGUGAAAACCUCUUGCAGCCUAAAGGGGACUAGAAAUUCAUAAAAGUAAACACAACACGUGAAUCUGAAUGCUUAGAUCACUUUGCUAUAAGGACACUACUAGGACAACUGGAGAAACUUACUGUUGUCUACAGAUUAGAGAAUUUUAUUAGUGUUAAUUUCCUGAUGUUGAUAGUUAUAUGAUUAUAUAAAAUAAUGUCCUUUUUUUGCUGGAAACAGAAAAUUUGGGAUUGAGGGACAAUGGGACAUGAUAUCAGCAAUUUAUUCUCAAGUGGUUUAGGAAAAUAAAAGAUUUUGUGCUGUACUUCUACAUUUUUUCUUAGUUUAUGAUUAUUUUUAAAAUAUUACAAGAAAUGCCUCUUGAAUUCAGUGUAAGAAAGUGUGAACAAAUUACUUAAAAUAAAUUUCAGAAGUUAUUCCUAUCAUUUUAUCUAAUGAUUAAUUAAUGCAUCUACAAGUGUUGUCUUCAUACAAAUUUUAUUAAGUUAUCCUCUUGUAUAAACCUAGAAAGAGCAAAUUGGAAAUGUUCCUCUUGAAUAUUUUUAGAACUGGCAAGAAUAUUUCUUCAGGUGAUAGAGAAUCAGAACUAUCUGAAAUUCUCUGGAAGCACAUUUUUAAAAAUGUUUACAUCACAUUUUGAUUGGCCAUAUUUUAAAUAAGAAUUCUCAUUAGUAUUCUUAUUUUCUGAUCAUAAUUGAUCCCACUCUUGAUUAGUUAAUAUAAUUCUUUUAAACAUCAACUAUUUUUCUGUGCUGUGAUAACAAGUGAUAGCUUCAGGAUAUAUAUAUAUAUAUAUAUAUAUAUAUAGGAAUACAGGACUUUUAAUUUAUUACUAAAUGGUCCUAAGAUUCUUAUUCUUUUCCUCCCUCCCUUUCCCACACCUUUGCCUCUCCUCGUCAUCCCCCUUCUUUUCCUCUCCUACUCUCUUUUUCUCAUUCAGGAAUAAGAAAAUGCUAAUUAUUGCUACAAAUCUUCAAUACUGUGCUAGAGGACUAACCCCAAAUAAUAAUUUUGAUGAGAAAAAAGAAAGAA